RNAcentral lists this ribosomal RNA (253 nucleotides) under uncultured bacterium. Its description in RNAcentral is "partial 16S ribosomal RNA". It matches the Rfam family "Bacterial small subunit ribosomal RNA", at positions 524 to 776 of the family's 1533-position model. The record is from RNAcentral.
UACGUAGGGGGCAAGCGUUGUCCGGAAUCAUUGGGCGUAAAGAGCGUGUAGGCGGCCCGAUAAGUCCGCUGUGAAAGUCCAGGGCUCAACCCUGGGAUGCCGGUGGAUACUGUCGGGCUCGAGUCCGGAAGAGGCGAGUGGAAUUCCUGGUGUAGCGGUGAAAUGCGCAGAUAUCUGGAGGAAUACCGGUGGCGAAGGCGGCAUCCUGGACCGAGAUUGACACUGAUGAGCGAAAGCUAGGGGAGCAAACGGG